This 494-nucleotide ribosomal RNA is filed under the name uncultured bacterium. RNAcentral's name for it is "partial 16S ribosomal RNA". It matches the Rfam family "Bacterial small subunit ribosomal RNA", at positions 28 to 507 of the family's 1533-position model. The record is from RNAcentral.
GACGAACGCUGGCGGCGUGCUUAACACAUGCAAGUCGAACGGUGAAGCGCCUUCCUUUUUGGUGGGUGUGGAUGAGUGGCGAACGGGUGAGUAACACGUGAGUAACCUGCCCCCUUCUUCUGGAUAACCGCAUGAAAGUGUGGCUAAUACGGGAUAUUCUGGGUCUGUCGCAUGAUGGGUCUGGGAAAGAUAUUGUUUCGGUGGGGGAUGGGCUCGCGGCCUAUCAGCUUGUUGGGGGGGUGAUGGCCUACCAAGGCGGUGACGGGUAGCCGGCCUGAGAGGGUGGACGGUCACACUGGGAGUGAGACACGGCCCAGACUCAUACGGGAGGCAGCAGUGGGGAAUAUUGCACAAUGGGCGCAAGCCUGAUGCAGCGACGCCGCGUGAGGGAUGGAGGCCUUCGGGUUGUGAACCUCUUUCGCCAGUGAAGCAGGCCUGCCUCGUUUGUGGGUGGGUUGACGGUAGCUGGAUAAGAAGCGCCGGCUAACUACGUG